AGUCCCAGUUGAGAGGAAGAGGAAGAGAAGAAGCCAGGGGGAGACAGGAGGAGGAGGAGGAGAAACUGGAGAUGACAUUAGCAGCAUGAAAACAGGGGAGUGUAGCAGAGAGGCUUGAAGAACUAUGGAGCCGUUCCGCAGCAAGGAAUACUGCAAGGAGCAGCACUCUUUAAAGAAAUUGCGAAGGGGUCGAGGAUUCCUCAGGAGAGAGGGGCAGAAAUUUAGACGGAUUUGAAGUAAAAUGCAAAUUAGGAAGUGGCAAGCAGAGGGUGUGGAUAGAGUGGGGAAGAGGGGCUGGAAGCUGCAUGAGAAAAAUAAUUUUAGAAACAGGCAAGAGGUGAGAUAAUAGUAAAGACUGCACAGAAUCUUUUCCUUUUUUUUAAUUUUAAAAGGUCAUCAAGGUCUCUGAACAAAACCAGUUGUAAGAAUUUUAAGCGCCUCAGGAAAAAAUAUCCCGGAAGAAGCAAACCUCUCUGUGUCUUAACACCCCCUUUCAAAUGCCCCCUAACACCCCUUCCUCCAAAUUUGGAUGGUGAAGCGAUGGCCCACCGUGCAGAACGAGAUACGCACUUCAGGAAGACUCUGGUGAUCUAUGAGGUAAUGUUUGAAAUUUUCAUAUUUAACCUCUUCUUGGACUAUUAUGCCAAAUCAUUGCUUCACUCUCUUUAUUUGCACUAAUAAGUUUUUAAAAAGUGAUUCUCAUCAAAAUGGAAAAGGCAGAACCGUAUUUCACACAUUAUGCAAUAGCAAAUCCAGGUUUAGCCUCUCUAGAUAGAGAACAGCAGCCAAUCCUGACUCUCUGGCUAGGAUUACGAUAAUCAUAUUCCAACCACAUGUUUGCUUCCUUUGUACUUAAACUUAAAAUAAGUUGUAUCUUUUUCAUCAUCAGGUCAUUUGCACAGGCCUUAGAGGUGGAGGAGGAAAUCAGCACACCCCUCCUCCUAUUUAACGUUUAUUACAUGGCUUAACUGUAUUGGGCUGUCUCAUGGGUAGGCAAACUAAGGGGAAACACAGUUUUUAUGAAAUCUUAGGACGAUGAAUGGUACAUUCUAUAACUAAAAGUCACCUUUAAAGGGAAGCAAAGGGACCCUCUCCAUGAUCUUGGGUUUGUAGGGCCACAAUCACAAUGGAAGAGCGUACAACACGAUCACAUCUGCAGUGUAGAAUCUGAUAGCUGUGACAACAAUAUUGAGCGCUUCCCCUUAGAAAUAUUUUAAAGAAAUAUUUUAAUGUUCUCCUGGCUGAAAAAGAAAACCUGAAAAUGUGGAGAUUAUCUGCUAAACAAUGUGAAAUUACAAGGGGUUGGAGUACAACUUCAUUAGCCAAUCGGUUGUGUUUCUUCGCUCAGCAAAGAUGUAAUAACUCCAUAGGGAUGCUAAGGGUAACAUCCUAUAUGGGUUUAUUUAUAAGUUAAAUGUACCAUUGUAUGCUUACUCCCAUGUAGGUAUGCUCUGCCAUUUUCCCUGGGGAAACCCAUGGUUUUCUGCUGAAAACAGCAAUCAGAUUUUCUAGAGAUUAGUUCCAAUUCAGCAGUAAAGAAUGUGUUUUCCAGGCAAACACAAAACCACUCUGGCUCAUGCCUAGAAAGCACGGGGAAAGUGAGAAACUGCUUUCUAGGCAGAAGCAUAGACAAGCCCUGAGUCUUGGCUUGGCAAACAUUGUGUUUUCAAUAAUCAAUGAGUAACAACAUUAUUCACUGAACCAUGACACAUAACAUUAAUGAAAAAGCACCCAAAUUCACCUCAAAUCCCAAGCAUGAAUUUAUUUUUUUGUUUUUAUUUGUUUGCAAAUCUACAUGCUUUUCUUUCUUGCUUUCUGGACAUAGCACUUUGAGUAGAUUUUCAAGUGCUGGAACUAAAGGACCAUAUCUGUUUCAGCUUCUUCUUAGGCAUUAAGCCAAUUAAAUAAAUUGUAGCUGAUCAGUCAAAUGAAUUUUAAUGUAUUAAUCAGUUAACAUUUUCAAUGGAAAGCAUAUUUUGUUUUUAGAGAGUGCAUUAAUUCUUGUCCCACGAUCACCAUCUUAAAUGGCUGGUGUUAUUAACCUCCAGGGGGCUCAAUAACACCUGUCAUUUACACUUCUUGAAGUCCUUGCCUUAAAAAACAAUUCCCGUUUUUCAUUUAGUUUCCUGACUGAGGGCAAAUUAUUAGUAUGAAAAAGUUAUUAAUCAAUUACCCUAAAUUUAUAUAUUUAUUGCUGUAAGCUGCUUUGAGACCUAGAUACUGAAAACCAAGAAACAAACUUUUCAAAUAAAUAUUAUAAAUAGAUAUUCUCUAAACAUCAAAGCCUUCCGUCUUUUACCUAAGGAAAGGUUUGCCAGUCUCUGCCUGCAAUAUUCACAGAGACUCAAAGGCUCCUCCUCAUGAGCUUAGCAUUCUACCCAGGGCAGAGUAACAGUUGGGGCAGAACAUUUCGGUGGCAUUCCGACUGAAGCAGCAGAGGCUCAGAGGAAAUUGUGAUUUGCAUCAUAUUUAAAUUCUUGCUUACAGGUUUUAGGUAAAUCCUCCAGUGCAGCCUCCCACAGAACAGUGGUUCUCUUCUGUGGUGACCGUGCUGUAUUCUUUAAGUGCCCACAUCAGUAAUGCUCCGCUAAGCCAACAGACAUAGAUGGUGCUCAGACCCCCAUUACCUGUGCACUCACUGCACUGCAGCCUUCACGGGACAUUAUCCGAAAUGCAUGUGUAUCCUGUACUUUCUUACAGCAUCCUAUUGUUUGAUGUGUCGUUUC
RNAcentral lists this long non-coding RNA (2726 nucleotides) under Podarcis lilfordi (Lilford's wall lizard). The record is from RNAcentral. Lineage: Eukaryota; Metazoa; Chordata; Lepidosauria; Squamata; Lacertidae.